Molecule: ribosomal RNA, 468 nt
Filed under: uncultured bacterium
Lineage: Bacteria
Description: partial 16S ribosomal RNA
Rfam family: Bacterial small subunit ribosomal RNA
Source: RNAcentral
GACGAACGCUGGCGGCGUGCUUAACACAUGCAAGUCGAACGGAAAGGCCCUGCUUUUGUGGGAUGCUCGAGUGGCGAACGGGUGAGUAACACGUGAGUAACCUGCCCUUGACUUUGGGAUAACUUCAGGCAACUGGGGCUAAUACCGGAUAGGAGCUCCUGCUGCAUGGUGGGGGUUGGAAAGUUUCGGCGGUUGGGGAUGGACUCGCGGCUUAUCAGCUUGUUGGUGGGGUAGUGGCUUACCAAGGCUUUGACGGGUAGCCGGCCUGAGAGGGUGACCGGCCACAUUGGGACUGAGAUACGGCCCAGACUCCUACGGGAGGCAGCAGUGGGGAAUAUUGCACAAUGGGCGGAAGCCUGAUGCAGCAACGCCGCGUGCGGGAUGACGGCCUUCGGGUUGUAAACCGCUUUCGCCUGUGACGAAGCGUGAGUGACGGUAAUAGGUAAAGAAGCACCGGCUAACUACGUG